Long non-coding RNA from Solanum tuberosum (potato), 556 nucleotides. RefSeq lists it as uncharacterized. Lineage: Eukaryota; Viridiplantae; Streptophyta; Magnoliopsida; Solanales; Solanaceae. The transcript is spliced from 3 exons. The record is from RefSeq and is a predicted model, not a curated record.
GUAAGGACUGGUUUCAAGUAUUUCUUCAAGUUUUCCUCAUCUUCAAUCCACCAAAGCUUAAGGAAAAAGUAUUGUUCUUGGAGAAUAAAGAAGGGUAGGGGCUGGUUUUCUUUGAUAUAUAGGCUUAGGUACUCAGGACAACAAGCAUUUUCAGUAGACUAGAGACUUCCAAUUUAGUAGUUGGUAAGCUCCACCUCUACCUAGAGCUAUCAAAUAUUUGGAGCCUAUAUUUUGCUACAUAUGUACAUAUAUCAGAAUGGGUAUGUCGGGGCCCUGUCCCAACUAGUUAUUAGAUUCUCAGAGGCAUACUCUUUAGAGGCUUCGUAGACUUAGUCCUGUUUCCGUUGUAAAGUAGCCCAACGGGCCCUUUUGUUAUUUAUGUUUUAGUAUGUGUCUUCAUAUAGGUUCCGAUGCUUAUGAAUCUUCAGCUUUGGCAUGAGAUUAGUAAGAUAUUUAGCAGGUGCUUGUGUAUAUCCUUGAUGUUUGCCCCUUUCUAGCUAGGGGUGUGACAGAUUCGUAGCUACAUGUUAGAAGGGAGGAGAGAGGCGAGCGAGAG